UUCUUCCAAUUACUGGGCCU
This 20-nucleotide small nuclear RNA is filed under the name Arabidopsis thaliana (thale cress). RNAcentral's name for it is "snRNA_09798". The record is from RNAcentral. Lineage: Eukaryota; Viridiplantae; Streptophyta; Magnoliopsida; Brassicales; Brassicaceae.